Molecule: ribosomal RNA, 468 nt
Filed under: uncultured bacterium
Lineage: Bacteria
Description: partial 16S ribosomal RNA
Rfam family: Bacterial small subunit ribosomal RNA
Source: RNAcentral
GACGAACGCUGGCGGCGUGCUUAACACAUGCAAGUCGAACGGAAAGGCCCUGCUUUUGUGGGGUGCUCGAGUGGCGAACGGGUGAGUAACACGUGAGUAACCUGACCUUGACUUUAGGAUAACUUCAGGAAACUGGGGCUAAUACCGGAUAGGAGCUCCUGCUGCAUGGUGGGGGUUGGAAAGUUUCGGCGGUUGGGGAUGGACUCGCGGCUUAUCAGCUUGUUGGUGGGGUAGUGGCUUACCAAGGAUUUGACGGGUAGCCGGCCUGAGAGGGUGACCGGCCACAUUGGGACUGAGAUACGGCCCAGACUCCUACGGGAGGCAGCAGUGGGGAAUAUUGCACAGUGGGCGGAAGCCUGAUGCAGCAACGCCGCGUGCGGGAUGACGGCCUUCGGGUUGUGAACCGCUUUCGCCUGUGACGAAGCGUGAGUGACGGUAAUGGGUAAAGAAGCACCGGCUAACUACGUG